RNAcentral lists this ribosomal RNA (253 nucleotides) under uncultured bacterium. RNAcentral describes it as "partial 16S ribosomal RNA". It matches the Rfam family "Bacterial small subunit ribosomal RNA", at positions 524 to 776 of the family's 1533-position model. The record is from RNAcentral.
UACAGAGGUGCCGAGCGUUAGGCGGAAUCACUGGGCUUAAAGCGUGUGUAGGCGGAUCUGUAAGUACCUUGUGAAAUCCCACGGCUCAACCGUGGAACUGCUUGGUAUACUGCGGGUCUUGAGCCACCUAGGGGCAAGUGGAACAAACGGUGGAGCGGUGAAAUGCGUAGAUAUCGUUUGGAACGCCAAUGGUGAAAACAACUUGCUGGGGGUGUGCUGACGCUGAGACACGAAAGCCAGGGGAGCAAACGGG